This 530-nucleotide ribosomal RNA is filed under the name Companilactobacillus alimentarius. RNAcentral's name for it is "bacterial SSU rRNA". It matches the Rfam family "Bacterial small subunit ribosomal RNA", at positions 61 to 557 of the family's 1533-position model. Lineage: Bacteria; Bacillati; Bacillota; Bacilli; Lactobacillales; Lactobacillaceae. The record is from RNAcentral.
GUCGAGCGAACUUUCCUUUUGAUUGAUGCUUGCAUCAUGAUUUAGAUCUAAGUGAGUGGCGGACGGGUGAGUAACACGUGGGUAACCUGCCCAGAAGUGGGGGAUAACAUUUGGAAACAAGUGCUAAUACCGCAUAACAACAUUAAACACAUGUUUUUUGUUUAAAAGAUGGUUUUGCUAUCUCUUCUGGAUGGACCCGCGGCGUAUUAGCUAGUUGGUGAGGUAAUAGCUCACCAAGGCGAUGAUACGUAGCCGACCUGAGAGGGUAAUCGGCCACAUUGGGACUGAGACACGGCCCAAACUCCUACGGGAGGCAGCAGUAGGGAAUCUUCCACAAUGGACGAAAGUCUGAUGGAGCAAUGCCGCGUGAGUGAAGAAGGUUUUCGGAUCGUAAAACUCUGUUGUUGAAGAAGAACAUAUGUGAGAGUAACUGUUCACGUACUGACGGUAUUCAACCAGAAAGCCACGGCUAACUACGUGCCAGCAGCCGCGGUAAUACGUAGGUGGCAAGCGUUGUCCGGAUUUAUUGG